Molecule: ribosomal RNA, 617 nt
Filed under: uncultured bacterium
Lineage: Bacteria
Description: bacterial SSU rRNA
Rfam family: Bacterial small subunit ribosomal RNA
Source: RNAcentral
CAUGCAAGUCGAGCGAAUCAAUGGGAGCUUGCUCCCUGAGAUUAGCGGCGGACGGGUGAGUAACACGUGGGUAACCUGCCUGUAAGACUGGGAAACUCCGGGAAACCGGGGCUAAUACCGGAUAACAUCUAGAAUCGCAUGAUUCUAGAUUGAAAGAUAGUUUCGGCUAUCACUUACAGAUGGACCCGCGGCGCAUUAGCUAGUUGGUGAGGUAACGGCUCACCAAGGCAACGAUGCGUAGCCGACCUGAGAGGGUGAUCGGCCACACUGGGACUGAGACACGGCCCAGACUCCUACGGGAGGCAGCAGUAGGGAAUCUUCGGCAAUGGACGAAAGUCUGACCGAGCAACGCCGCGUGAGUGAAGAAGGUUUUCGGAUCGUAAAACUCUGUUGUUAAGGAAGAACAAGUACGAGAGUAACUGCUCGUACCUUGACGGUACUUAACCAGAAAGCCACGGCUAACUACGUGCCAGCAGCCGCGGUAAUACGUAGGUGGCAAGCGUUGUCCGGAAUUAUUGGGCGUAAAGCGCGCGCAGGCGGUCUUUUAAGUCUGAUGUGAAAGCCCACGGCUCAACCGUGGAGGGUCAUUGGAAACUGGAGGACUUGAGUGCAGAAGA